GAGGGUUACCCUAGUCCAAAUAAUUUAGACGUCUGGGCGUCCCAGAAUUUUUUUUUAGAAUAGCCUUGCCAGACGUCAUAAUUAUUUGGACUAGAGUUACCCCUCAUUUGGAGUGUUGUUCACAACCUGUAAAAGGUCCAUCUUCGUGCAUAAUUCAAAAUUGGAAAUUUCAACAAGCAUCAUAUAUUCUUACACAAGAAAAUAAACCCUGGUCUGCUAGCUACAUGUUCAUCUUUUCUACCGAUUUAAUAACUAGAAUCAUGCAAACAGACUUAAGAAAAAGGCAUGUAAGCUCAUCAUACAAAUAUGACACUUUUUCUAGACAAUCCAGAUCGUGCAAAAUACUUUU
This 349-nucleotide long non-coding RNA is filed under the name Mytilus galloprovincialis (Mediterranean mussel). The record is from RNAcentral. Lineage: Eukaryota; Metazoa; Mollusca; Bivalvia; Mytilida; Mytilidae.